UGUCUCUGACAGAUGAAGUGGUUGAUACCCUGCUUCCAAGAAAAGCCUCUAAGCUUCAGGUAAUAAGGAACCGUACCCCAAACCGACACAGGUGGUCAGGUAGAGAAUACCAAGGCGUUUGAGAGAACUCGGGUGAAGGAACUAGGCAAAAUGGUACCGUAACUUCGGGAGAAGGUACGCCGGUGAUUGUGAUGGGACUUGCUCCCUGAGCGAGAGCCGGUCGAAGAUACCAGGCCGCUGCAACUGUUUAUUAAAAACACAGCACUCUGCAAACACGAAAGUGGACGUAUAGGGUGUGACGCCUGCCCGGUGCCGGAAGGUUAAUUGAUGGGGUCAGCCGCAAGGCGAAGCUCUUGAUCGAAGCCCCGGUAAACGGCGGCCGUAACAAUAACGGUCCUAAGGUAGCGAAAUUCCUUGUCGGGUAAGUUCCGACCUGCACGAAUGGCGUAAUGAUGGUGGCGCUGUCUCCACCCGAGACUCAGUGAAAUUGAAAUCGCUGUGAAGAUGCAGCGUACCCGCGGCAAGACGGAAAGACCCCGUGAACCUUUACUAUAGCUUCACAGUGGACUUUGAUAUUACUUGUGUAGGAUAGCUGGGAGGCUUUGAAACCUGGACGCCAGUCCGGGUGGAGCCAUCCGUGAAAUACCAGCCUGGUAAUCUUGAGGUUCUAACGCAGGUCCAUUAUCUGGAUCGCGGACACUGUGUGGUGGGUAGUUUGACUGGGGCGGUUUCCUCCCAAAGAGUAACGGAGGAGCACGAAGGUGUGCUAAUCACGGUCGGACAUCGUGAGGUUAGUGUAAAGGCAUAAGCACGCUUGACUGCGAGACUGACAAGUCGAGCAGGUACGAAAGUAGGUCUUAGUGAUCCGGUGGUUCUGUAUGGAAGGGCCAUCGCUCAACGGAUAAAAGGUACUCCGGGGAUAACAGGCUGAUUCCGCCCAAGAGUUCACAUCGACGGCGGAGUUUGGCACCUCGAUGUCGGCUCAUCACAUCCUGGGGCUGAGGCCGGUCCCAAGGGUAUGGCUGUUCGCCAUUUAAAGUGGUACGCGAGCUGGGUUUAGAACGUCGUGAGACAGUUCGGUCCCUAUCUGCCGUGGGCGUUGGAGAUUUGAGGGAAGCUGCUUCUAGUACGAGAGGACCGAAGUGGACGAACCUCUGGUGUUCCGGUUGUAUCGCCAGAUGCAUCGCCGGGUAGCUAUGUUCGGACGGGAUAACCGCUGAAAGCAUCUAAGCGGGAAGCCCCUC
Molecule: ribosomal RNA, 1244 nt
Filed under: metagenome
Description: bacterial LSU rRNA
Rfam family: Bacterial large subunit ribosomal RNA
Source: RNAcentral